RNAcentral lists this transfer RNA (55 nucleotides) under Ophidascaris baylisi. Its description in RNAcentral is "tRNA-Pro". Lineage: Eukaryota; Metazoa; Nematoda; Chromadorea; Rhabditida; Anisakidae. The record is from RNAcentral.
CAGUAGUUAGUUUAUACAAAAUAUGGCGUUUGGGGUGUUAAGAAUUUGUUACUGG